UGCAUCCUGUUACGGCGGCAAAUGCCUUAAUGUAGCGCAAUUCCUUGCCCUUUAAAUGGGGGCAGAUUGGUGAAUGGCUUGACGACAGCUCUGCUGUCUCAAAAGUUUUUGAAUUGGAUUUAGAGUGAAGAUACUCUAAUAAAAAAGAAAGACGACAAGACCCCUAAAACUUAAUAUUACUUUUUAAAAGGUUUUUUAAACGAUAUUUGGCUGGGGCAGCAUUAUUAAAAUACAAUAAAAGAUUUAACCAGUAGACUUUGAUCCAAACUAUAAUUUUUAGUUUGAAAAAAGGAAAUAGUUACUUUGGGGAUAACAGCGUAAUUUGCCUGGAGAGACCUUAUUGAUAGGCAAGAUUGCGACCUCGAUGUUGGCUUAACAUUACC
This 383-nucleotide ribosomal RNA is filed under the name Placuna placenta. RNAcentral's name for it is "partial 16S ribosomal RNA". It matches the Rfam family "Bacterial large subunit ribosomal RNA", at positions 1916 to 2547 of the family's 2925-position model. Lineage: Eukaryota; Metazoa; Mollusca; Bivalvia; Pectinida; Placunidae. The record is from RNAcentral.